RNAcentral lists this ribosomal RNA (407 nucleotides) under uncultured bacterium. RNAcentral's name for it is "partial 16S ribosomal RNA". It matches the Rfam family "Bacterial small subunit ribosomal RNA", at positions 30 to 526 of the family's 1533-position model. The record is from RNAcentral.
AUUGCACGCUGGCGGCAGGCCUAACACAUGCAAGUCGAGCGGAGCGCCGGACGGACGAGUAAUACCUAGGAUUCUGACUGAUCCUGGGGGAUAAGAUUCGCUAUCGGACGCGAACACCUAACAUUAUCAGAUACGUCUAGCUCGGAUUAGCUAGAUGGUGGGGUAAUGGCUAACAAUGGCUACGAUCCGUAACUGGUCUGUGAGUAUGAUCAGACACACUGGAACUGAGACACGUUCCAGAUUCCUACGGGAGGCAGAAGUGGGGAAUAUUGGAAAAGGGGCGAAAGCCUGAUCCAGCCAUGCCGCGUGUGUGAAGAAGGUCUUCGGAUUGUAAAGCACUUUAAGUUGGGAGGCGUUACCGACAGAAUAAGCACCGGCUAACUCUGUGCCAGCAGCCGCGGUAAUAC